This 504-nucleotide ribosomal RNA is filed under the name uncultured bacterium. RNAcentral's name for it is "bacterial SSU rRNA". It matches the Rfam family "Bacterial small subunit ribosomal RNA", at positions 30 to 528 of the family's 1533-position model. The record is from RNAcentral.
AUUGAACGCUGGCGGCAUGCCUUACACAUGCAAGUCGAACGGUAACAGGUCUUCGGAUGCUGACGAGUGGCGAACGGGUGAGUAAUACAUCGGAACGUGCCCGAUCGUGGGGGAUAACGCAGCGAAAGCUGUGCUAAUACCGCAUACGAUCUACGGAUGAAAGCGGGGGAUCGCAAGACCUCGCGCGGACGGAGCGGCCGAUGGCAGAUUAGGUAGUUGGUGGGAUAAAAGCUUACCAAGCCGACGAUCUGUAGCUGGUCUGAGAGGACGACCAGCCACACUGGGACUGAGACACGGCCCAGACUCCUACGGGAGGCAGCAGUGGGGAAUUUGGACAAUGGGGGAAACCCUGAUCCAGCCAUGCCGCGUGCAGGGAUGAAGGCCUUCGGGUUGUAAACUGCUUUUGUACGGAACGAAAAGGUACCGUUUCUAAUAAAGAGGGCUCAUGACGGUACCGUAAGAAUAAGCACGGCUAACUACGUGCCAGCCGCCGCGGUAAUACCA